CGGUGAAGCCGCGAAUAGCUCAUUACAACAGCCACCGUUUACUAGAAUAUAGUUAUCCUACUUGGAUAACUGUGGCAAUUCUAGAGCUAAUACAUGCAAAAAAGCUCUGCCCGCAAGGAACGAGCGCAUUUAUUAGAAUAAAAACCAAUCGGGUUUCGGCCCGUAAUUUGGUGAAUCUGAAUAACUUUGCCAAUCGCACAGUCCUAGUACUGGCGAUGUAUCUUUCAAGUGUCUGCCUUAUCAACUUUCGAUGGUAGGUUAUACGCCUACCAUGGUAGUAACGGGUAACGGAGAAUAAGGGUUCGACUCCGGAGAGGGAGCCUGAGAAACGGCUACCACAUCCAAGGAAGGCAGCAGGCGCGCAAAUUACCCACUUCCAGAACGGAGAGGUAGUGACGAAAAAUAACGAGACAGUCCUCUUCGAGGUCUGUCAUCGGAAUGGGUACAAUUUAAAUCCUUUAACGAGGAUCUAUUGGAGGGCAAGUCUGGUGCCAGCAGCCGCGGUAAUUCCAGCUCCAAU
RNAcentral lists this ribosomal RNA (520 nucleotides) under unidentified nematode Sourhope farm. RNAcentral describes it as "SSU rRNA". It matches the Rfam family "Eukaryotic small subunit ribosomal RNA", at positions 79 to 595 of the family's 1831-position model. Lineage: Eukaryota; Metazoa; Nematoda. The record is from RNAcentral.